ACUCCUACGGGAGGCAGCAGUGGGGAAUAUUGCACAAUGGGGGAAACCCUGAUGCAGCCAUGCCGCGUGUGUGAAGAAGGCCUUCGGUUGUAAAGCACUUUCAGUAGGGAGGAAGGUAGUGUAGUUAACACCUGCACUAUUUGACGUUACCUACAGAAGAAGCACCGGCUAACUCCGUGCCAGCAGCCGCGGUAAUACGGAGGGUGCGAGCGUUAAUCGGAAUUACUGGGCGUAAAGCGCAUGCAGGCGGCCUGUUAAGUCAGAUGUGAAAGCCCGGGGCUUAACCUCGGAAUUGCAUUUGAAACUGGCAGGCUAGAGUCUUGUAGAGGGGGGUAGAA
Molecule: ribosomal RNA, 338 nt
Filed under: uncultured bacterium
Lineage: Bacteria
Description: bacterial SSU rRNA
Rfam family: Bacterial small subunit ribosomal RNA
Source: RNAcentral